AUGGAGCCAAAAAUUAUAGACUUCGGUGUAUCAAGACUUCUUGACAAAGAACAAACUAUUUGCACUUCAUCUCGUGAUGGAACACUGUGUGUUGAUGUCAUGCAUUACCUUUUCUUUUUGGGUCCAGAUGAGCCCGGGCUCGGAAUUGGAUAUUCGAAUCAGGUAGCUCUAAUCUGCAUGAACUUUGAGCGUGCAGAAAGGCCUCGAAUGAUGAAAAUUAUCAAUAUGCUUCAAGGUCUGGAAAGUAUUGACUUUGACAUUACAAAUGUGGAGACAUCAUCUGGAUGUUUUGGAAGUACGGAUUUUGGUAUGCCGAAAAAAUUGAUGAAGUUACGUUGCCAAGAGCUUCAGAUAGCUCGUAGAGAUUUUAGCAACAUUGUUGGCUCUGUAGUCUGCAAAGGAACAAUCAAGGAUGGGCCUGAGGUUUCUAUUAUACAAUUAUGUGCCCGUGAAGAUCAUUGGACUAGCCAACAUGAACUUUUAUACCAAAAAGAAAGUGACCCAUUUUACAGGAUGGUUGUCUUUGAAUGCACAUCAAAUGGGACCCUAUAUGAGCACGUACACCAUGGGAAAGCAGCUCAAUUAUCUUGGGACAGACGAAUGAAAAUAGCUAUCAGUAUUGCCAAAGGUUUAAGGUAUUUGCACAGUGAGCUGCAACCUCCAUCCACUAUAUCGAAGUUGAACUCCAAGUCAGUUUAUGUUACAGAAGAUUUUACUCCCAAGCAUUCGAAGAUGCUCGGCCACUUGAAUAAUGAAUCCUCUUUCCCUGGUCACCUGGACUUUUUGAAGGACAUGCCUAGUGAAGUCCAAUGCAAUUCAUUUGCUUUUGGAGUGAUUUUGCUGGAGAUCAUUAGUGGACAGCUUCCUUACUGCAAGGACAACGGAUAUUUGGUUCACUGGGCUAUCAAGUACCUCCAGCAGCCGAAGGAGAUCAGUAAGCUGGUCGACCCGGAGCUGACCAACGUGAGACCUGAGGAGCUUGCUGUGAUCUGCAACGUGGUGAGACGAGGCCUCGAACCCCGCCGUUCUCAGAGACUGUCAUUGCAGACCAUCGCAGGGGAUCUAGAGAAUGGCAUUGGCUUAUCCUUAACUCUAAUGACCGGCAAACACGGAGGCGUCACCACUGCCCCCCAUGACAUUCACCACACAAACUGUCCAACACAAUCAAACACAGAACAUGGUGCAACAUCAUGUCAGGAAGGGAGCAGCACUGCAUCUCUGAGCCCCCACACGACUAAGCCACACGGAAUUGCAUGGCGGCCAAGCAUUAUGCGAGGAUCUGAGAUAAACCCAAAACGCCGGCUCGCCAACUUUAGCAAGCGAUUUAUAAAUAGAGCCAAGGAGGUGAGAAGCCAGCGUGCAAGAAAUCAGUGUUAG
This 1377-nucleotide ribosomal RNA is filed under the name Triticum aestivum (bread wheat). Its description in RNAcentral is "partial small subunit ribosomal RNA". The record is from RNAcentral. Lineage: Eukaryota; Viridiplantae; Streptophyta; Magnoliopsida; Poales; Poaceae.